CCCUGUGCAAGAGGACAAAAGUCAGGUGCCAGGAAAGCCCUAGAAGACCCUCCCCAGUCUGCAAUGCCCCUGGUCUGGGGCUAACACAGCAGGGGGCAGCUCUGUCACCCCCAG
Long non-coding RNA from Sapajus apella (tufted capuchin), 114 nucleotides. RefSeq lists it as uncharacterized. The transcript has 4 exons. NCBI's taxonomy places the organism in Eukaryota, Metazoa, Chordata, Mammalia, Primates, Cebidae. The record is from RefSeq and is a predicted model, not a curated record.